This 406-nucleotide ribosomal RNA is filed under the name uncultured bacterium. Its description in RNAcentral is "partial 16S ribosomal RNA". It matches the Rfam family "Bacterial small subunit ribosomal RNA", at positions 30 to 526 of the family's 1533-position model. The record is from RNAcentral.
AUUGAACGCUAGCGGGAGGCUUAACACAUGCAAGUCGAACGAGUGGCGGACGGGUGAGUAAUAUAUGGGAAAGUGCCCGGUAGAGGGGGAUAACUACUAGAAAGAGUGGCUAAUACCGCAUACUAUCGGAGGGGCCGAUAUGGGAUUAGCUAGUUGGUGGGGUAAAGGCUCACCUAGGCAACGAUCCCUAGCUGGUCUGAGAGGAUGACCAGCCACACUGGAACUGAGACACGGUCCAGACUCCUACGGGAGGCAGCAGUGGGGAAUAUUGGACAAUGGGGGCAACCCUGAUCCAGCCAUCCCGCGUGUAUGAAGAAGGCCUUCGGGUUGUAAAGUACUUUCGGCGGGGAGGCGGUACCCGCAGAAGAAGCACCGGCUAACUACGUGCCAGCAGCCGCGGUAAUUC